Long non-coding RNA from Amphimedon queenslandica, 271 nucleotides. RefSeq lists it as uncharacterized. The record is from RefSeq and is a predicted model, not a curated record. Lineage: Eukaryota; Metazoa; Porifera; Demospongiae; Haplosclerida; Niphatidae. The transcript is spliced from 3 exons.
GACUCUUUGUUGUUUCUGAACGUUCCACUUUUACUAUUUUUAGUACAUCUUCAUCACUCUAGUUUGUGUGGUUGAAUAAUAUGUGUGUUUACACAUCUUUGAAUGAAGCUUACUGCAAGUCUUUUCUGUUUCUCAUUCUGUUUUUGAAUUGAAGGUUCUUCCUUUGACAUACUAUGCAUAAGAGCAGUCUCUUUGACUUGAUCCUAAUGUACGAUACGACGAGGGUGGGUGGAGUCCACACACCCAUAAAUAUGGAGAAAAGCACAUUUUA